GUGCCCAACCCGCCCGCUUCUCCUGCCUAGGCUCUUCUUUCUGCUCCUGUCGCCAUGGCCCCGGCCUCGGCGCUCAAGCGACCCUCUCGCUCCGCCCAGACCCCUGGAUGCCCAGCUGCCGCACCUCCCGUGGCCCCACGCUGUGGCUACGUGUUGUCUGAAGACGCCUGGGGAAACCUUCAGGGCCUCUGUACUGGCCUGUCAUGUGGUCAACCAGGAUAAUAGAUGGUUUUCCCUCAGUGUGAACAUCGAGGUGUCUGGGUUCAUGGAAGCUGGUGAAGAAACCACCUACAACUAUACCAUGUCCUGUCCCUAUUUCACAUGGGCCUCGAGGAAGAUUCUCUGAAGGGAACUACAUGGAGAUCUCCUUGAUUGCACGGUCAACCCCGCUCCUGUCUGUCAGGCUCAGGAACCACUUACAAGCUAUGGCAGGUGAUGUUCCAGCAUCCCACAGGGAGGAUUAUGCUGGUGAGCCACAUGGCCAAGCAGGACUAUGGCUUCAACAGCUCUGGGGCCUGCAUGUUCCUGCAUUAGCCCUACUCCAGCAAUGAGGCUGAAGUUACCAGAGUGACAUCAUGGUAUCUGGUGCAAGCUAUAGCAUCCACCUAUUCUUGGAGCACACGUGGUCAGACACUGAUUGGCAUGUGACCAAGUUGAUGGUGGUCAAAACAGAACUCCUUUCAUGCCCACAAGCUUCAGUAUUACUAUGUUCCCUGCCACUUCCGUUGAAGUUUUGCAGGAUUGGGAUGAUCCUUUGGUGUGAACGAAGCCCCAAAGAGGACCACGUGGAGAGUGCCUGACUGUUCCUGUGAUGUCUUCUAGUACAUGAACAGGAAUGAAACCCACUAUGUCCUCCAUGUGAACUACAUGCUGAGCGUGGGUCCAGAUGGGAAACCAUUCUCCUACCCUGCAGAAAUGGUAUAUAGUUUCAAGGAUGUGGACCUCACUGGUGAGAAGCUGGGCUUCUGGGUCCCCAUGCUGCUUCAUCCCACCUCCCAACCCUGUCUUCAGGCCCACUGCUGAUCCCAGUCUAGAACCACAGCACCGCCCCCAUCCUGCAUGAAGAAGGCCUUGUGCAUCUGCCUUGGUGAGAUCUUUCCAGGCUGACUGGUCUGUACUCCCUGGGGAGAUGAUCGAGACCAGCUCACACUGCUGUGUGUCACAUCCAUACCUUCUAUGGGAAAACUAACCCCCCUCGCCUCCUAUGUGAAGUCUCAGGCUUCACAGCCCAUUUCAAAUGCUGUUUCUCCUAUAACCACAUAGCCUGCCAACCACUGGAUCUCCUUUCUGGUUCCUCCCUCUCCCCCCAACUUUUUCCUUUUGAACUCUCAUAAUCAGAGCCAUAACCAUUUUCUGCCUUGCACUAGUUACUUGUCCUUGACUGUCUUUAUUUUCCCUUCUGAGCUGACUUUCUUGAAGGCAGGGCCCCCAACCUGAUCACCAUGCCUCAGAUAGUAUCCAGGUUUUGCCUUCAGCCCCUCAAAUAAUACAUAUAAAAAUGAACAAAUUCCAAUAUUUAUCCACAACCUACUUGAUGGCCUAAAAAUGCAUUUUAAAUGGGUGUGUCUGAGGUAACUUGUGAAAAGCCCUGGGGUCAGGAGCCAAGUCCUACCUCAAGGAGCAGCAUAAAGGCUUAGCCCAGCCUCGUCCAAGGACUGCCAGGUAAAAUAGAGAACAGACUUUGAUCAAAAUAUGGUUGGAAACAGGAUGGUUGUGAGAACUAUGGUUGUGUUCCUAGUGUGUUUCCCUAGUGGGACUGUGGCCAUCUCUUCCAUGAUGGCCACAGACCCUUCCAUUGACAUGUGCAAGGCCACACUGAAGGAUUGCACCUGCAAGCCAACAGAGUCUAGCAGCAACCAAACCUUCUUCUGACUUGACGUCACCAGCCGUGGUACCUCAGUGAGGCUGCAAAAAAGAGAAUAACCUGCUAGAGGUAGACUUUUACCCUGUCUCCCAGGGUGAGAAGGUCCAAUACCCCUCAUUGGUCAAGAAGCUGGUGAAGUUUGUGGCACCCAGAUUCAAAGAGGUGUAUCUGUACCACCUGACCCAAUCCUGCCUACACUUGGACCCUGACGGGCAUUGUGGUGGCCAGUACUAUCCAGAGGAGAGAGAAGGAGUGACUCCAGGACUUAUAUGCCCACAAGCCAAAAGAAGAUCAAGAUCUGAGUGGGAACUGUGGAAAGCAUGUCAUGCGAGCCCCUGCCGCCCUUGAAACUCUGCGUUCCUCCUCCUCAAAGAACAGUGCCUGAAGGUCCUGGCUGUGGCCCUGGCUGGCCAUCUUGCUUCCUGGUCACGGUGGUGGCCACUGUGCUGGUCCUGUCCAAGAUGACCUGUACAUCAUUCCAUGAAUGACACGUGACAACAGCUUCCCAGUGUAAUAAGCACAUUUAACCCAGCACUUGUCAGCCCCACUGUUCUGUUGGAAGUGUUCUAUCUCACUGAUCUUGCCUCUCCUAAAGCAAGGGACAACUCCUGGCACUCCGCUGCAGAGGCCCUUGAAGCCUGUUGGAAUUUUAGUGAAAUGAGAUGCCUGGCUUAAGCCAUGUUGCCUGGCUUCUCAAGUACCAGCGGACAUAUUACUAGCAAGGAAGAAGGCUAGCAGCAAGAAUGGUUAUUGCAUCCUAGAGGCAUUUAGUGGAGGAGAAAACUGCCCUGGUACCGCCAUAGCCCUAAGUGCUGCCCAGAGUUCUGAGCUCUCGAUGAGCACUUGGAACACGUCUGCCUGCAGCCUCCCUACACUUUUUUAUGACUUGUCCUACUUGUCAAGCCCAGCUUGUCCCACUUCUCCACAUGAGUCUUCCAGUGACAUCUUUGUGACCAUCUCCACCCCCUGGGUAAAUGCUCCACGCUGGGAGUCCACAAAACACAGUCUGACUUAGAGAUUCUCUGGCAUGACUCUCUUCCCCACUGUGUACACUGACUGCCUUAGAUGUAGGCCUCUUGUUUGGGGCCCUUCCUGGCCAGACCCUGAAGCAGCCUCUGAGGAGGGUGGUAAGAAUGGUUCCCUAGAGCCCAAAAAAAAAAAAAAAA
RNAcentral lists this long non-coding RNA (3030 nucleotides) under Homo sapiens (human). RNAcentral's name for it is "long independently transcribed non-coding RNA 954 (LINC00954)". Lineage: Eukaryota; Metazoa; Chordata; Mammalia; Primates; Hominidae. The record is from RNAcentral.